Long non-coding RNA from Myotis brandtii (Brandt's bat), 1665 nucleotides. RefSeq lists it as uncharacterized. The transcript has 3 exons. Lineage: Eukaryota; Metazoa; Chordata; Mammalia; Chiroptera; Vespertilionidae. The record is from RefSeq and is a predicted model, not a curated record.
UAAACAUCAGACCUCCCUGAUCCCACCCUCUCCUCUCAGCCCCCCGCCCCUCCGCAGAGUUGGCUUCCUUAAGAAGAUCAGAGGGGGUGGUCUGGGGCCGGAAAAAACAAGUUGAAAGUGCUGCAGUGCCAGCAGCAGCCCAUCCACUGCUCAGCUGAGAGAGGGUGGAACCCCUCUCCUAGGCAAGCUUUACUGGUAGUUCUAACGCCAUCCCUGCCGUGCACUCUCAGGCCACCUUGGACGAGGCUCGUACAGGGGCCUGGGUCUCCCCAUCUGUAUACAGAAGUCUGUUUUGCACUGACUACAGGGUCCCAAUGUUCUCUAACUUCUCCCCACCUUAGGGUGGCUCUUAAACUCCCAGGUCCCAGGCAGGCACCUGCAUGACAGAGCUGGUGCACUUGGGCCAUACUGGGUAUUCCUGCUCACAAGAGCAAAGUAAGAAACUGGUGCCACUGGCGUCCACUUCCACCCUGCGGCAUGCAGCAGAGGGAUGGAGAGAGCAAAGGUUUUGAAAGCUGGAGUGAGAGAGGGAGGCCGCUGCUCUCCCAUCAGAGUUCCUCCCUUCCACUUCACACAAAACCCCCAUCAACAGAGGAGGAGACGGAGGCCCAGAGAAGGGGAUCCAGGUAGCAUCUGGUUUAUACAGGGCUCUCCUCUAGAUCACCUCCAAGUCCUCCUUAAAGUCUGUCCCAAAUUCCUCCUGCCUUUUAUUUGUUUGUAGUUCCGGAUUUUACUAAGCUGUGGUUCGGCAGGCUCUGGACCACCAUGUCAGAUAUACUGCCCCAGCUCUCCAGCACGGAGCCCCCACCCAUGCCAGGUCCCUUUCUCUCUGGGCUGCACCAUUCCCACCUAAGGGCAGCCUCCGGGGAUGUAAGUCCCUACUCCCAGACUCCUGAGAAUUGGGGGAGGGGAGGGAGCAGACUGGAACUCCAUCCGCAAAGGCCCAGGGAUCAACCACCUCACAAACAGACCUAAACACAGGCUGAGACUGGCCCAAGGUCACACACGAGGUCCCGGAGAGCUUGCCGAGUCCAAGCCUGCAAAGCCGGACAGGGGAAGUUCCUAUGGGCGGUCUGGGAUGACAGGUGACUAAAAAGGUCACCACCCGCAAGUGGGGAGAAGGCACCUGGCCAGGUGUUCCCAGCUCGGAUUUGUUGGAGCCCCUCCAUCCCCAGCCCAGGCCUGCUCAGGAGUUUUCUCACAAUGCUUCGUCUCUGCCUCUCUCUCCUGCUCAGAACAGAUGGCUCUGAGUCCCCACAAACACAGGCAUUUCUGUUCUGUCAUCUGAACAUGUUUAACACUUUCUAAAUGACAGAAGCUUCAUCCUCCUCUGGUCAUGGACACAGACCAUCAGAAAAGAAGAACCCCUUGAAAGACAUCGAAUCCAGCCUCUUCCCUUUCCCAUGGAGAGACUGCAUCUGAGAUAGGACCAGUGGCCUGCCCAAGACCAUUGCAAUGGACACCAUGUUUGUUCUCUUGUUUUUUAUUGUUUUGUGGGGGGGGGGGUCUUUUUUUCCCCUUUCAUUGCUGUUUUGUUUUGAUGUUCAGAGUCCAUCCCCUCUCCUAACAGCACCCUCGUUUCCUGAUCUUAGUGGAGUUAGACAUCAAGGCAUGGCAUAGGACAGUGAUGGUGAACCUUUUGAGCUCGGCGUGUCAGCAUUUUGA